Molecule: non-coding RNA, 80 nt
Filed under: Paenibacillus sp.
Lineage: Bacteria; Bacillati; Bacillota; Bacilli; Caryophanales; Paenibacillaceae
Also listed under: 1 other name
Description: ZTP sequence
Rfam family: ZMP/ZTP riboswitch aptamer (pfl RNA motif)
About the family: Previously known as pfl RNA. ZMP is also known as AICAR.
Source: RNAcentral
UUUGGUAUGUGUAACUGGCGCUAACGUGGAGAACCACGAGGAAGCACAUAUUCAUACUGUCGUACGCCUGGGCAAAGUGU